Long non-coding RNA from Oncorhynchus tshawytscha (Chinook salmon), 11588 nucleotides. The record is from Ensembl. NCBI's taxonomy places the organism in Eukaryota, Metazoa, Chordata, Actinopteri, Salmoniformes, Salmonidae.
ACAGUAUAUAGUAAGUGCAUGGUUUGCGGGAGGCUUAUUCAGAGAAACUGCUGUCAGACAAACUGAAUGUAUCUUCGAAUCCAGGCCAGGAUCAAGGAGUUGUAAUGGAGGGACAAGGAUUUCAAGGUGCACUGAGGGUCAUGCUCCUUGUGUGUCUCCUUGGACUAACAAAAGAGUUUGAACUUGAGGACAAAGACUGGGACGAGUUGAGGUCUGAUGUGGCUGCGCUGCACAGAUUGAAAGGAUUACCUGAUCAAAUGACACGUAGGACCACAGGAGCAGACACCAGAGAGAUAACAAUGCACGGGACCAGGACAAAGAGAUUCAGCAAUUACAGGGCAUAUGUGGAGAAAAAGCCCAUGGCUUUAUUUGAUGGUCUUAGGGGAUGUGACCAUUUUACAACAUGCGUCAUUCAAAUGGACCAGGAUUUUGAAAGGUUUCUGGAAGAAAUUGAUAGACAAAAGAUCCAAGAUUUGCUGCUGUCUGCUUCUGAAAUGUCUUACACCUACAGCAACAAACUUCUCCUUAUAAUGGACAAGGAAGAGUGGACUCGUCAGCGAGUAGAAGAGGAGUACAGCAUAGAUCCUCAUUAUUCAGUAAUGGUCAGUGAUGCUUGUAUGUACAAUGAUUCAUGUCUCCCAACCGUUAACAGUGGCACAGUUGUGAAGAUAUUUGGUACUGCCUCAGAGGAUGGACAUACUCUGUCCGGUUACUCUGGUUCCUCACUAGCAAAUCUAAUGUUGACACCAUCAUUGAGAUCAGCAUCCGUUUUCUCCCUUGACAUCAAUACCACUUCUUCAUUUCAUAAUGACUUCAUGAGGGUUUUUAAGUAUCAUGACAAUAAUGCUGUCUUGGAAACUACCAGCCCGGGAGAUCUUCUCAUCUUUCAAAUCAUGGAUCACACUGACACUGCAGCUGAGUACCAUGCUCCAAAGAGACACAUUGAUCACACCACACAGUAUGAUAAACAGCACAUCCUAAUACUGGAAGAUAACCCCAUUGUUCGGGAAGCUGCUAAAUUUCUAUAUGAGAAACAUCCCACUGUGACCUCUGUGUACAUCCUGGAAAACCAACAGCCUAAACUGAUCAAAGGUGACCCGGUGCCACUGUCAGAAGAGAGCAGACUGGUCCUUGUAGGCCAUGGGAGCAGAGACAGCGAAGGAGAGAUGAGGGUUGGAGGGUACAAAGCCGAAGACGUGGCUGACAUCAUUGGACGUACUGCCAGGACUAGUGACCAUAUUAAAACCACAAGUGUGGUGGCCUGUGAAGUUGGGUCUGAUGAAGCCUUCAAGAACACCCUGUUAAAAGAGCUCCACACCAGGUCUAUUGAGACAGAACUACACCUAAGGAGUUCUUUGCUCCAAGUCAGCCACUCUGGGGAGAAGAUAACUGUAGAAAUAACCCCCACUGGAUUGGAAACAAAACAUAAGGAUGACAGCAAGAAAGUGGUGGCAAUGUUAGACAGAGAUGGAAAUGUCGUCACUAGAGAACAGUUCAGCAACAGGGGGGAAGGGAUUUUUUCAAAUGAGAGAAACUUUCUAGGGGAAACUUCUGUUCAAGAACGUUUUAAAAAAUACAGAGACACAUGGCCAGACAAUCCAAAGAGAUUUGUUGAAUCUUAUGCACGUAGAAAAUAUACUAAUGAACUUGAAGCUUUAACCUGGGCAAUUUUUGAACCAAUGAAAAGUGAUAAAAAUUCAAAAAAGUUACAGACAAAUUUGGACAAUGAAGAGUUUCGGAUCUGCAAUAUUGAGAGGCAAAUGGUAAACAGAAGAAAUACAAUAAAGGAGAAAACAUGGAUUGAAGAUAACAACGUCAUUAAAGGUAUUCUUGAUAACUGCUAUGAAAUGAAGUCAGGUGAGGAUAUCCUAAGUGUGAUCCAUCACAAUGCAAAGCUUGGAGAAGAUAAGACCACCUACCUGAUGUUACAUGACUGGAUUUAUGAGAUAAACCCCCAAUCUUUAUAUGUGUUUCCAGUGGGGAAAAAGCUUGACAACAAUGAAAAGGGAAAUCAAAACAGAAUAGAUGAGAUAAAACGUUGUGUUGAGGAACAGAUUGGCAAAGAACAUUAUCCAGCCAUCCGUGAAAAUAUAGGAGAUGGCAAAGAAAGUUAUCCUAAUUUUGUGAAAGAAACUCUUCAGGGGGAAUACAUUAAUAAAGGCUCACAAGGUAUGAUGAAGGAGGCAUGGUACAGAACAUAUUUCAUGGCAUCAAUAAUAUCAGAGUCCUCCAGAAAUUUCCGUACAUUUCCUCUUGUCCUGAUGGCCUUAGAUAUGGCCCACAGCACAGACAAUAAUGUGAAAGACAAAGGUUUGAGUUUCCUCAUGGAGAAUCAUCCAAUGGCAGCAGGUGGUUCUUGGGUGGAUCCAAGUAGGCGAGGAUUUUUCGGUUCGUCCUCAGACAUAGAUUCUAGCAAAUUAAAAAACAUAUUAAAAUAUAAACGUAAGAUCCCAGAGGAAUUACAAAAGGAUCUUAUGGACCUUACAGAAAAAGAGAAUAAUGUGUUUGAAGAAUGGUGGAAAUGGAAAAAAAUGGAUAACAACAAGGUAGAAGAUGAGAUCUACAAACUUGCAAAUGAGUAUGCACUUGUGAAUGAGAUUUCUAAAAGUUCAUUCAUAAAGGAUUAUAGUCAUUUCUUAAAUGAAAUUGGUAAACAAUCAACCCUAAAUGAGGUCACUGGACUUUUGGGUGGGUCCCAUGAUGGCUCUGUGACAUUGAAAGAUCUACAUUCUGCUUCAGAAGUAGAGCAUUCACUCAAGCUCUCUUCGUAUUACGCCAGGUCCUCUGCUAUGUUUGCUGAACAGAUUCACAAUCAGUUGAGGAGAGAAUUUGGUGACAGGCUGGACUCGGAGGGACUACAUGUCAAAGAAGGCAGUAUUAGGCUGGAGGAUGGACAAUUUCGUUGCCAGCUUACAUCGAAGAAGAAUCUCCGGGAAACAAUUGAAUUUAAGGUGGAGUUGCAUCCAGGGGGACAACUAUACACAGAGAAAAUGUGGAAAAACAUGGAGACAGUUCAUGGCCUGGAGAUUCCAGAUGGGACCCAUUCUCACCAGGUCUCGAAGCACCUAGAGCACACAGGGAUGGCAAUUGGAGCAGUGGGACUCAUGUUGGGGAUGCAAGGAGCUGUUCAUGCUUUUGAAGAGGGAGACAUUGAACAUGGUACAAUAGCCACGUUACAGACUGUACAUGGAGUCACAGGAAUGACCUUGGCUGCAGUUGGUAAACAAGUUCCUCAGGUUUUAGAGCGCAAGGCAAUGAGAGCCAUGGUAACAUUAAUCAAAAGCCCUGUGGUGAAACGUGCCCUGGUAGUUAUGCCAAUCAUAGGGAUUGGUUUUGGAAUUUACAAUAUUGUGGAAGACUUUAAGAGGAAAGAUGCACUGGGGUAUAUUGAUGCCACCUUCGAUGCUGCAAUAGUUGCCUUGGAUUUUCUUGAAAUCGGUCAACCAGAACUUGCGCCAUUAAUUGUGCCAAUCAACCUGGCACUAAAUACCAUACGAAUGAUCUUUGAUGAUGUAUAUCUUGAUAUUCAGACUGAACUCAUUCAUUUACCACCAAAUGCUGGAGUUUUGGCAAAAAUAAGAGCAUUCUUUGUUGGCUUUGGGAAAGGACUUUUACACUUUAUCCUUGAUGUGGCAAGCUUUUUUUAUACCAUUCCUUAUCGUGAGAUUGAGGAGGGACGAAGGCUUGUUCAACAAAUUUCAGACCACCAAAAGUACUAUUAUUUUGCAGAGGUACAGGAUGGGAGAAAGGCCAUUGAUUUCACAGCUGGUGAGGAUUCUUGGAAUGGAGGGAGUAUCACUUUUUGUCUCUCAGACCAGGGAUCAUCUGACUUCUGCAUGGAUUAUUUUGUAUCCAGUGACGAAAACUCGGGAAAAAGGUGUUGGACUAUUGACACACAAGGAACUAAAGACAUUGUUCUAGGCAUUGGAGAAUCACAUAGAUUAACUUACAAAAACAUAGAUAUAAAAAUACUCCUAUUCAUAAAAGUUGGCUCUAUGUCUGUCGUUUCUGGUUAUGAGGCUUUGUCAGACACAAGAUUUGGAACAUAUUGGGGAAACAAUGAAGCAAAUAAUUUUUUUGCCGUUCAGAAGGCAGAUGACGACCAUGGCAUUGAAGUCAUGUUGAGCUAUUACUACAAGCUUUAUGGAAAAAAUGGUGAUGACGUGUUCUAUUUGGGACCUCAAAAAAGCUAUGUGGAGGGGUGUGGCGGCAAAGACACUUUCAUCAUUCCUGUCUAUGGAGGAAACACGAUUAUUAAUAACUAUGAUCCUUUCAAAUCAACAGAUGUCCUACUCCUUGGCGUUAACUACAGUCAGAUUUCUGUCAGUAAGUCAGGAAAUGAUAUUGUUUUAAGAUAUCUUGGUAACCAUAACAUUAGGAUUAUGAACUGGUUUUUGGGGGACGAAUAUCGCCACAUGAACAUGAUGUCAGAGGACGGAGUCCUGUUCGACAUCUCCACCACAGUGAUUUCCUCUGUCCAACUGAUUGCCAGAGGUAUCAAUAGAAUGUCUAAAACUCAUGGCCAGACAGUGAACGCUUCCGAACCACUUCUCCUUAGCGUUACUAAUAUCAUGGGGUCUCCUUACAAUGACAUACUAAUAGGAAAUAGACAGAAGAACCUGAUUGAUGGUGGAGGGGGUCAGGACCACCUGAGGGGAGGAGAAGGAGAGGACAUAUAUAUGGUUUAUGAGAAAAAACUGACAAAGAUAUUCAUUGAAAAUCACUCCUAUGACAAUGAAACAGACAUACUGGUGAUAGAGGCAAACCUUCAUGAAUUCAAAGUUAAAGUGGAUGGAAACCAUCUCAAACUGAUGCCUUUUGCUGAUCAAAGUUUUGAUGUGACCUUAAUGAACUGGUUCCGUUCAGAAGCGGACAGGCACUUGCUUGUUAUCACAAAGGAUCUGGUCACCUUCAGCAUCUCUGAGAACAAGGCAGCCUGUGAGCAGAUUGACUCAUUUAAGAGCAAAUGCCUCAUAAGUCAGAAUCUAGAUUACAGAAAGUCCACAGCUGCUCUACAUGUGGAUCUGCAGGAGGAUGAGGCUUUCCAAAGUGUAACAGAGGUGCGAGGCUCAGCCUUCAAUGACAUCAUCAAAGGGAACGUACAACGCAACACAAUUGUGCCAGGGCGAGGAACAGACUUUCUUCAGGGGCGAGGAGGGGAGGACUGGUAUGUUGUAACUCCAGGACAAGGCUUGAAAACCAUUGAGAACCACUCACCCGAUCUGGCUACUGAUGUACUUUUCCUGAGAGAAAAAUAUGAUUUCAUCAAUUGUAAAUGUAAUGGACCAGACAUUUAUCUCUCCAUAAAUGGCUCAGAGGAAGUCCUAUUGAAGGGCUGGUUUCACUCAAGGAACUCUCAACACCUCCACAUCCAAUCAGCUGAUGGAAUAACAUUUCAACUGGAGUCCAAUGCCAGCAGUUGCGAUGGCUCCUUAAAGCUGCCUCAGUCUGUGGAUUUCCGAAAUAGGGUGACUGGAGAAAUCAUGAAGAUGAAUAACAGCGACUUUGCCUCAGUGGUGGAAAUGUAUGGCUCAUCUGGUUUCGACAGCAUGGAAGGAAAUGACAAAAAUAACAUGCUGGAUCCUUUUACUGGAGGUGGUAGCAUGGUGGGAGGAGAUGGGAAGGAUACCUAUGUAGUGAACACUGGAUAUGGAACCAAUAUCAUGAUUGAAAACUUUGCAGAGGAUGAAAGAAUGGAUACUGUGUUGUUUGAGAUGGAUUUCCUUGGUGGUGGUCAACUCACAGUUCAGUCUGACAAGCAUGAUGUACUUGUGAGCACAGGUACACAGGGGCAUAAAAUUCAGGUCAGAGUGCUCAACUAUAAUUCAGGGCAACAACACCAACAUCUUAGCUUCCAGAGCUCUGAUGGAGUGCAUUUUUGGGUUAGAUCUCCAGUUGGAAACAAAACGCGUAGCUUUCAAAAGCCUUGGAUUGAAGCUUACAAAGUGACAAUGAAAGGAAAACUGGGAGACUGCCAAAUAGAUCUGAGUUCUCAAUCAAAUUUAUCAUUGGUUCACACUGUGCAGGGCUGUCCCCAUGACUCCAAUUACAUUACAGGUAAUGAGCAGGAGAACGUACUCUUCGGUGGCAUCAAGAUUGAUGUACUGGAUGGAGGGGCCGGCCAUGACACCUUGCUGGGGGGUCAGGGCAAUGACAUCCUGAUUGGGAACAUAGGAGAUGACACUCUUUAUGGAGAGGAAGGGAGUGACACCAUGAUGGGUGGCUCAGGCUCUGACACCUUCGUUCCCGGACCAGGGGCUGAUCUAGUGGACGGGGGCCCAGGGAGAGACACUGUGCUGUACCAGGGGGAUCAUGAGAGGGGUGAGGGCGUUUACGUCAACCUGCUGAGCGGAGAAUGCCGUCAGGCAGAUGCUGAGGGAGACGUGUUGAAGGAUGUUGAGAAUGUGAUUGGCACUAUCUACUCAGAUAUCUUGGUGUCUGGCUACGAACCUGCCCUACUAAAAGGCUCUGACGGCAACGACAUUCUAGUGUCCCUUGUGGGAGGAGAUUACUUGAUUGGAGGAGAGGGAAGUGACAUUUACAUGAUGGUUUCCCACCAUGGCUCAGUGAUCAUAGACAACUGUGCCACAGAUAAUGCCACGGACAUUGUGUACCUGCGCUCUCUGUCUGAGAAGUCUGUUGACUGUUCAUAUCUACUUGACGGAGUGUUUCUGACAUUUUAUGGACUCGGCGACACUACUGUUGACAUAGAGCUGCGAAACUGGGUCAACUUCAGUCAUGAGUGUGGCCAUCUUAUGCUGGUCCUCAAUGAGGGUGAAAUAUCUGUAGAUGAACUCAUGCAGGAGUGUGAGUUGAGAUAUCACAUGCAAAGAGUCGUGGCAACUGUUACAUUAAUCCUUCUACUUUGUGUUUUACCUGGCAUUAUUUUGGUAAUAGCUUUGGUCCAUAGAAAGAGGAAGAGGGGACAAGGAGGGAAAGACAGCAGUGAUAGAGCUACUGAAAUGGGGAAAGACACAAUAGAAGUGCGAGAAGAGGACGCACCUCUCCAGGGCUUAACUUCUCAACCUAAAGUAGAGGAAGAAGAAGGAAGAGAAGGAAACUGAAUGAGAACGAUAGACAUUCAGUAACUCAGGACAGGACCUCAGAGGAUGUAGAGGGGACAAGUGAGUGAACGACACCCUCAUAAAUAGUUUGGAGAACGAAAACAGGGGGGCAAAAGAUAUAACCACAUGGCAUAAAGUACUAACCAACUCCCUCCACUUAAUAUCAAGCAAAUGUAACCUGACCAAUGGUUUUAUGUUCAUCUCUUACUAAACACAGCUAUGAAUACCUAACUACAGUAUCAGAACUAAUCACUGUUCAUAAAUAAUCACUUCUUGUUAUUAUAUCCUUAUAUUAUACAAAAAUGGCUACUCUGUCUGGAAAUUUAAAAAUGGACAAAUAUCAUGUUUAAAUCAAUGAAAUGUUAAUAAAAUGCAAAGCUCAAUCUUUUUAAAACUUAUUUCUACCCUAUUAUACAUCUAUGCUUGAAUUGACCAGUUUCCUUGCAGCUUGGAUGUGGCAUGUGUUGAACUGAACAGCAGAUGACAGUAUUGGAAAGCCUAGCACUAGUGGUUUGUAAAAAGAUGUGACUCACACAGAGCCUUUAGAAAAUAGAACCUAAUCAUCCGAGGCAUCCAGUUGUCGCCAAGGUAACUUUUCAAGUCAGUCCACCACACUACAGCAUGUCAUUAAUUAUUUAGGAAAAUGAAUAUAAAACUUGUAUAAACUGCAUUUUUAAUUAUAUGACAAUAUUUUAUGUUUUAUCUCCAAUAGAGGUCACCCGAUUAAUCGGGAAUGACCGAUUAAUUAUGGCCGGUUUCAAGUUUUCAUAACAAUGGGUAAUUGUAUUUUUGGACCGAUUUGCCGAUUAUUCUUUUUUUACACCUUUUUAUAAGAAAUUCAUGUUAGCAGGCACUAUUAACUAAGUAUGUAGGUUUAAAAAUAUAUACUUCUGUGUUGAUUUUAAAGAAAGGCAUUGAUGUUUAUGGUUAGGUACAUUGGUGCAAUGACAGUGCUUUUUUCCAAAUGCGCUUGUUAAAUCAUCACCGUUUGUCGAAGUAGGCGCAUCGAUUAUAUGCAACGCAGGACACCCUAGAUAAACUAGUAAUAUCAUCAACCAUGUGUAGUUAACUAGUGAUUAUGUUAAGAUUGAUUGUUUUUUAUAAGAUAAGUUUAAUACUAGCUAGCAACUUACCUUGGCUUCUUGCUGCCCUCACGUAACAGGUAGUCCCUCGUGGAGUGCAAUGUAAGGCAGGUGGUUAGAGCGUUGGACUAGUAACCGGAAGAUUGCAAAAACAAAUCCCAGAGCUGACAAGGUAAAAAUCUGUCAUUCUGCCCCUGAACAUGGCAGUUAACCCACCUUUCCUAGGCCGUCAUUGAAAAUAAGAAUGUGUUCUUAACUGACUUGCCUAGUUAUAAUUAGGGAAAUUGUGUCACUUCUCUUGCGUUCUGUGCAAGCAGUCAGGGUAUAUGCAGCAGUUUGGGCCACCUGGCUCAUUGCAAACUGUGUAAAGUCCAUUUAUUCCUAACAAAGGCCAUAAUUAAUUUUCCAGAAUUGUCCAUAAUUAUGACAUAACAUUGUAGGUUGUACAAUGUAACAGCAAUAAUUAAACUUAGGGAUGCCAUCCGUUAGAUAAAAUACGGAACGGUUCCGUAUUUCACUGAAAGAAUAAACGUUUUGUUUUCUGAAUGAUAGUUUGCGGAUUCGACCAUUUUAAUGACCAAAGACUCGUAUUUCUGCGUGUUAUUAUGUUAUAAUUAAGUCUAUGAUUUGAUAGAGCAGUCUGACUGAGCGAUGGUAGGCAGCAGCAGGCUCGUAAGCAUUCAUUCAAACAGUACUUUCCUGCGUUUGCCAGCAGCUAUUGUGCUGUUUAUGACUUCAAGCCUAUCAACUCCCGAGAUUAGGCUGGUGUAACCGAUGUGAAAUGGCCAGCUAACGCUAAUAGCGUUUCAAACGUCACUCGCUCUGAGACUUGGAGUAGUUGUUCAAACGCUGCUUCGAGGGUGACUGUUUUCGAUGUGUUCCUGAUUCGAGCCCAGGUAGGAGCGAGGAGAGGGACAGAAGCUAUACUGUUACACUGGCAAUACUAAAGUGCCUAUAAGAACAUCCAAUUGUCAAAGGUAUAUGAAAUACAAAUGGUAUAGAGAGAAAUAGUCCUGUAAUUCCUAUAAUAACUAUAACCUAAAACUUCUUACCUGGGAAUUUUGAAGACUCAUGUUAAAGGAACCACCAGCUUUCAUAUGUUCUCAUGUUCUGAGCAAGGAACUUAAAUGUCAGCUUUAUUACAUGGCACAUAUUGCACUUUUACUUUCUUCUCCAACACUUUGUUUUUGCAUUAUUUAAACCAAAUUGAACAUGUUUCAUUAUUUAUGAGGCUAAAUUGAUUUUAUUGAUGUAUUAUAUUAAGUUAAAAUAAGUGUUCAUUCAGUAUUGUUGUAAUUGUCAUUAUUACAAAUACAUUUUAAAAAUUGGCCGAUUAAUCGGUAUCAAGGUUUUUUGGUCCUCCAAUAAUCGGUAUCGGCGUUGAAAAUUCAUAUUCGGUCGACCUCUAAUCUCCAAGGCAUUCCUAGUCGAUCACCAAACAUUUCUGUAAAAAACAACGAUAAAGCCUUGCGUUCCUAUUUUUUUAAAUUAAUUUCACGCUGUUGGUGGUAGGUGCAGCCCUAGUGUCGGAAAGACAAAGUGUUCCCAUUUUUAACCAUUUCAUGUGUCUGAAGGAAUAACUCCACCUACCCAGCAGGCCCAGAGAACAAAUCAAUUGCACCUAUAGGCCUACCUUGAACGCACAGCAAAGUUGAUACUGUGAGAUUUCAAAACUUUUAAAACCAUGACGAGGAAGACUCCACGGAUACAGCAAAGAGCUGCUGUUUUAUGUGUAAGUUCAUGUUUAAGUUGUUAUUCAGCACUGUAAACACUUUGUUCAACACCUUUUUAAGCCAUAAAAUGUGAGUUCUCCCUACUUCCACACGCUACAACCAGCACUGUAUAUAUCAAUGUCACUCUUGCUGCUGGUGUCACGUUCUGACCUUAGUUCCUUUGUUAUGUCUUUGUGAGUUGGGAUGGGUAGUCUAUGUUCUUUUUUCUAUGUUGUGGUUUUGUGUUUGGCCUAGUAUGGUUCUCAAUCAGAGGCAGGUGUCGUUCAUUGUCUCUGAUUGAAAAUCAUACUUAAGUAGCCUUUUCCCACCUGUGUUUUGUGGGUGAUUAUUUCCUGUUUAGUGUUUUUUCCAUUCACCUUACGGGACUGUUCGUUUGUCGUUUAUUGUUUUGUCCAGUGUUCAGUUAUUUUACUAAAAAUAUGAAAACUUACCACGCUGCGCUUUAGUCCUCACUUUCUUCCACCACAGACGAUCGUUACAGCUGGUGAUUCUCUGAUCCACCUCUACGCAGACAACACCAUUCUGUAUACAUCUGGCCCUUCUUUGGACACUGUGCUAAGAAACCUCCAAACGAGCUUCAACGCCAUACAACACUCCUUCCGUGGCCUACAACUGCUUUUAAUUAAAUGCUAGUAGAACUAAGUGCAUGCUCUUCAACCGAUUGCUGCCCGCACCUGCCUGCCAGACUAGCAUCACUACUCUGGACGGUUCUGACCUAGAAUAUGUGGACAACUACAAAUACCUAGGUGUCUGGUUAGACUGUAAACUCUCCUUCCAGACUCACAUUAAGCAUCUCCAAUCCAAAAUUAAAUCUAGAAUCGGCUUCCUAUUUUGCAACAAAGCCUCCUUCACUCAUGCUGCCAAACAUACCCUCGUAAAACUGAUUAUCCUAUCCUCGACUUUGGCGAUGUAAUUGACAAAAUAGCCCCCAACACUCUACUCCGCAAACUGGAUGUAGUCUAUCACAGUGCCAUCCGUUUUGUCACCAAAGCCCCAUAUACUACCCACCAAUGUGACCUGUAUGCUCUCGUUGGUGGGCCCUCACUACAUAUCCGUCGCCAAACCCACUGGCUCCAGGUCAUCUAUAAGUCUUUGCUAGGUAAAGCCCUGCCUUAUCUCAGCUCACUGGUCACCAUAGCAACACCCACCCGUAGCAUGCGCUCCAGCAGGUAUAUUGCACUGGUCAUCCCCAAAGCCAACACUUCCUCUGGCCACCUUUCCUUCCAGUUCUCUGCUGCCAAUGACUGGAAUGAAUUGCAAAAAUCUCUGAAGCUGGAGUCUUAUAUCUCCCUCUCUAACUUUAAGCAUCAGCUGCUUACCAAACAAUGUACACAGUCAAUCUGCAAAUAGCACAUCGAACUACCUCAUCCCCAUAUUAUUACUUACCCUCUCGAUCUUUUGCACCCCAGUAUCUCUAAUUGCACAUCAUCUUCUGCACAUAUCUAUCACUCCAGUAUUAAUGUUAAAUUGUAAUUAUUUUGCCUCUAUGGCCUAUUUAUUGCCUGUGUUGUUGUUUUUGUCGCACUGCUUUGCUUAAUCUUGGCCAGGUCGCAGUUGUAAAUGAGAACUUGUUCUCAACUGGCCUACCUGGUAAAAUCAAGGUGAAACAAAAAUAAAUAAUAAAUAAACGCAAGCUGCAAUGAAUGAGUAUAGCAAAGUAUUAGUGACUUGUCUUUUUUAAUUUCAAGGAAUAUUUCACUUUCUCUGGU